UCGGUGAAACGUUUUAACAGCUGCGGUAUUUUAACUGUACUAAGGUAGCAUAAUAAUUUGCCUUAUAAUUUGAGGCUAGAAUGAAUGGUUUGACGAAGGUUAAUCUGUCUCCACUUUAUUUUUUAGAAAUUAAUUUUCAUAGUGAAAAAGCUUGAAUUUUUUAAGGGGACGAGAAGACCCUACUGAGCUUAUAAUUUUAUUAAGACAUAUAUUCAUAUAUAUUGUGUUAUAUAAAUUUUAAUUGGGGUGAUUAAGGAAUAAUAUAAUUAUUAUAAAUGUAACUUCCUUAGAAAUAUUAUAUUGUUGAAUAAAGUAACCGAUAAAUUAAUAUAACUAUUAUGUAUUGCUUAUAAUAUAGUUACCAUAGGGAUAACAGCGUAAUUUACUUAGAGAGUUCUUAUUGAAAAGUAAGAUUGCGACCUCGAUGUUGGAUUAAAGUAACCUUAAGGUGCAGAAGCUUUAUGGGGUAAAUCUGUUCGAUUUU
This 484-nucleotide ribosomal RNA is filed under the name Uroteuthis sp. 3S JATM-2019. Its description in RNAcentral is "partial 16S ribosomal RNA". It matches the Rfam family "Bacterial large subunit ribosomal RNA", at positions 1863 to 2588 of the family's 2925-position model. Lineage: Eukaryota; Metazoa; Mollusca; Cephalopoda; Myopsida; Loliginidae. The record is from RNAcentral.